Molecule: ribosomal RNA, 497 nt
Filed under: uncultured bacterium
Lineage: Bacteria
Description: partial 16S ribosomal RNA
Rfam family: Bacterial small subunit ribosomal RNA
Source: RNAcentral
GAUGAACGCUGGCGGCGUGCCUAAUACAUGCAAGUCGAGCGAACAGACGAGGGGCUUGCUCCUCUGACGUUAGCGGCGGACGGGUGAGUAACACGUGGAUAACCUACCUAUAAGACUGGGAUAACUUCGGGAAACCGGAGCUAAUACCGGAUAAUAUAUUGAACCGCAUGGUUCAAUAGUGAAAGACGGUUUUGCUGUCACUUAUAGAUGGAUCCGCGCCGCAUUAGCUAGUUGGUAAGGUAACAGCUUACCAAGGCAACGAUGCGUAGCCGACCUGAGAGGGUGAUCGGCCACACUGGAACUGAGACACGGUCCAGACUCCUACGCGAGGCAGCAGUAGGGAAUCUUCCGCAAUGGGCGAAAGCCUGACGGAGCAACGCCGCGUGAGUGAUGAAGGUCUUCGGAUCGUAAAACUCUGUUAUUAGGGAAGAACAAAUGUGUAAGUAACUAUGCACGUCUUGACGGUACCUAAUCAGAAAGCCACGGCUAACUACGUG